Molecule: unclassified non-coding RNA, 2151 nt
Filed under: Pollicipes pollicipes
Lineage: Eukaryota; Metazoa; Arthropoda; Thecostraca; Pollicipedomorpha; Pollicipedidae
Description: sH3 domain-binding glutamic acid-rich protein homolog, transcript variant X3
Source: RNAcentral
AAGUAAACACGAACCUCACCGUCGAUAACCGCUGUUAUUUUAGGGCGUGGAGUCGUCAAGAAACGCUCAGGGGUAGCGUGGGAGGGGCGGUGGCGUGCGGCGGUUUUGUGGUCUGCCGGGCAGGCUUCGCACCUAACCCUGCUGCUGUUGCCAUCAUAAAUUCGUUUCACCAGCCCUGAUCGGUGAAUGCCACUGACACUCGUGGCUUCCAAGACUGCAUUUGCUGUUUUGCAACCGUCGGGUACCCACCUUCCUUGAGAAUGACCAUCAAAAUUUACAUUUCUGGGCUCUCCGGUAAUUAUGAGGUGAAGAAGCGGCAGCAGCGGAUCCAGACGGUGCUGGAUUCCUGCGCCAUCCAGUACGAGCUGAUCGACAUCACGGAGGCGGGCUGUGAGGAUGAGCGCAAGUUCAUGCAGGAGACGGCCACGGCCAAGGAGGGCGAGCGGAACCCGCUGCCGCCGCAGAUCUUCAACGACAAGGACUACUGCGGGGACUACGACGGCUUUGACGUAGCGAAUGAGACAGAUCAGCUGCACCAGUUCCUGAAGCUGAGUGAAGGAGAGGUGAACACGGCUCAGGAUAUCCUCAGUGCGAACAGGAGGUCAUCAAGUAGAGAGCAAACCCCAAUGGCGGAGAACGGAAUCGACCACGCCGACAAUCCUGAGCCUCCCGCGGCUGCCGAGGCCACAGAAGAGGAUCACGUAGAGCCCCCCGAUCAAGCCCCAGUUGACGAUCUGGAGGUGAAGACUGAUGUGGAACCGGAAGCGGCCGAGCAGAGGGAGGAAAACGACUCCGCCGUGGAUGCGGAGGAUGAGGGAGCAAAAGACUCCAAGGUUGACGACUCAAACGAAGGCGCCACCGAUGAGAAGGUGGCAACGCCGGAGCCGGAAGCUCCCGAGGAGGAAACGGUCCCUGCCGCGGAUGCAAAGGCCGACGUCGAAGACGACAAGGAGGACAAAUCUGGGGAUGAGGAAAGUGAGGGAGAAGACGAUGAGGACGAAAACCCGGAUUUAGCGGACCUGAAGGCGGCGGCGCAACGGCUGUCUCCGGACAGCGCCGCCGCGGCGGACGGCGCGGCGUCCGCCGCGUCUGCCGCGCCGCCGGCGGAGAGCGAGCCGCGACCGGACACCGGCGACGUGCCCGACGGAGCGCCGGCGGAGGAUCGAGCCGAUGACGAGGGCUGCGCGGAGGACGAGGCAGCCGCCGACCAGCUGGAGAACAAGGACAGAGCGGCGAAAGAUGCUGUGGGGGAUAAGGAUGCUGAGGCGCCCCAGAAGCAGCGUCUUGGAGACUCCGUCGAUGACGCGAAGGAUGGUUCCGACAAGCCAGUUGCUGCUGGAGUAGAGGAUGACGAUGGAGAUGCGGCGCUGUCUGACUAAGGCCAUCUUCAGGACGGUGGGCAACGGAGACAACCAGCAGGAGAACGCCGACAAGGAGGAAUGAGCCGGCGAGCGCCGCGUGACCCCCCGGCGGCUCCCCGGGCCAGUCGUGUCCCGCCGGCGGCAGUGUUUUUAUACCGUGGUGACAAGGUCAGGGCCGCUUGACGGGACACAGCCUGCACGUGCGCGGCUCAGCGGCAGCGCCGCUGGGCGCUCGUCGAAUGGGACACUGCUCAGCUUGCUAAAAUGCAGGGACUUUCGGUUCAAGUGGCGUACAAAAUCAAUUGAUUCCGUUCAACGACCCGGCGCGGGAGGCCGGCGUGUUCAUUGCCAUCGAAAGCGCCGGUCGGCUGGGCGCCCUUGGACAUCCUACUUUAUGUUAUGUUAUCGCUUUGUAGCUUUACGACCGACCGCCUUGCCGCCGUCUGUUUUCGUGUACCCUUGGGUUCUGUGCAGUUACCCUGUGCAAGAUAAUCGUAGCCCCGCCAGGUCGCUUGCCACUAAGUGGCGCGCCGCCUGGCGCCGUGCUGCCCUGGUCUUUGACCAGUCAUAUCCGAAUUCGUAGCAACGAGCUAGUGAUUAUUUGAGGCCGCCGGCAGGUGAUGAGCGGUGCGCUUGUUUCGCUUGCCCUGACCUUUUAGUGUAGGAUUGUUGCCAUUAUAUUCUGUCCUGCUUUGCUGUUGCAUAUUUUGGUACAGCUGGUACCGCUCCUUGCCAUUUUGUCAUGUUGUGCCCUAAUUCUGCGGAUUGCAACAAUAAACGUGCUCAGAAA